UACGUAGGGUCCGAGCGUUAAUCGGAAUUACUGGGCGUAAAGCGUGCGCAGGCGGUUUUGUAAGCCAGAUGUGAAAGCCCCGGGCUUAACCUGGGAACUGCAUUUGUGACUGCACGGCUAGAGUGUGUCAGAGGGGGGUAGAAUUCCACGUGUAGCAGUGAAAUGCGUAGAUAUGUGGAGGAAUACCGAUGGCGAAGGCAGCCCCCUGGGAUAACACUGACGCUCAUGCACGAAAGCGUGGGGAGCAAACAGG
This 253-nucleotide ribosomal RNA is filed under the name uncultured bacterium. Its description in RNAcentral is "partial 16S ribosomal RNA". It matches the Rfam family "Bacterial small subunit ribosomal RNA", at positions 524 to 776 of the family's 1533-position model. The record is from RNAcentral.